GAACCUACGGGAGGCAGCAGUGGGGAAUAUUGCACAAUGGGGGGAACCCUGAUGCAGCGACGCCGCGUGGGCGAUGGAGUAUUGCGGUAUGUAAAGCCCUAUCGGCAGGGAAGAAGCUGACAGUACCUGACUAAGAAGCCCCGGCUAACUACGUGCCAGCAGCCGCGGUAAUACGUAGGGGGCAAGCGUUAUCCGGAUUCACUGGGCGUAAAGGGAGCGCAGGCGGCACGGCAAGGCUGGUGUGAAAACCCGGGGCCUAACCCCGGGAGGGCAUUGGGAAAUGCCG
RNAcentral lists this ribosomal RNA (286 nucleotides) under uncultured bacterium. Its description in RNAcentral is "partial 16S ribosomal RNA". It matches the Rfam family "Bacterial small subunit ribosomal RNA", at positions 333 to 638 of the family's 1533-position model. The record is from RNAcentral.